RNAcentral lists this ribosomal RNA (998 nucleotides) under Enterococcus faecium. RNAcentral describes it as "bacterial SSU rRNA". It matches the Rfam family "Bacterial small subunit ribosomal RNA", at positions 62 to 1030 of the family's 1533-position model. The record is from RNAcentral. Lineage: Bacteria; Bacillati; Bacillota; Bacilli; Lactobacillales; Enterococcaceae.
UCGAACGCUUCUUUUUCCACCGGAGCUUGCUCCACCGGAAAAAGAAGAGUGGCGAACGGGUGAGUAACACGUGGGUAACCUGCCCAUCAGAAGGGGAUAACACUUGGAAACAGGUGCUAAUACCGUAUAACAAUCAAAACCGCAUGGUUUUGAUUUGAAAGGCGCUUUCGGGUGUCGCUGAUGGAUGGACCCGCGGUGCAUUAGCUAGUUGGUGAGGUAACGGCUCACCAAGGCCACGAUGCAUAGCCGACCUGAGAGGGUGAUCGGCCACAUUGGGACUGAGACACGGCCCAAACUCCUACGGGAGGCAGCAGUAGGGAAUCUUCGGCAAUGGACGAAAGUCUGACCGAGCAACGCCGCGUGAGUGAAGAAGGUUUUCGGAUCGUAAAACUCUGUUGUUAGAGAAGAACAAGGAUGAGAGUAACUGUUCAUCCCUUGACGGUAUCUAACCAGAAAGCCACGGCUAACUACGUGCCAGCAGCCGCGGUAAUACGUAGGUGGCAAGCGUUGUCCGGAUUUAUUGGGCGUAAAGCGAGCGCAGGCGGUUUCUUAAGUCUGAUGUGAAAGCCCCCGGCUCAACCGGGGAGGGUCAUUGGAAACUGGGAGACUUGAGUGCAGAAGAGGAGAGUGGAAUUCCAUGUGUAGCGGUGAAAUGCGUAGAUAUAUGGAGGAACACCAGUGGCGAAGGCGGCUCUCUGGUCUGUAACUGACGCUGAGGCUCGAAAGCGUGGGGAGCAAACAGGAUUAGAUACCCUGGUAGUCCACGCCGUAAACGAUGAGUGCUAAGUGUUGGAGGGUUUCCGCCCUUCAGUGCUGCAGCUAACGCAUUAAGCACUCCGCCUGGGGAGUACGACCGCAAGGUUGAAACUCAAAGGAAUUGACGGGGGCCCGCACAAGCGGUGGAGCAUGUGGUUUAAUUCGAAGCAACGCGAAGAACCUUACCAGGUCUUGACAUCCUUUGACCACUCUAGAGAUAGAGCUUCCCCUUCGGGGGCAAA